GAUGAAGAACGUAGCGAAAUGCGAUACUUGGUGUGAAUUGCAGAAUCCCGUGAACCAUCGAGUCUUUGAACGCAAGUUGCGCCCGAAGCCUCGGCUAAGGGCACGUCUGCCUGGGCGUCACGCAUCGCGUCUCCCCCAAACCGCCAAGGCGGAGGGGAAGGAAGAUGGCUUCCCGUGCCUCACCCGGCGCGGUUGGCCUAAAUUUGGAGCCCGCGGCACUUAGCUCUCGCGGCGAUAGGUGGUGAACAAGGCCUUGGCCGUGCAAACAACCCGCUGCGAAGCUCUAUGUCACGUGCGCUCGUCGGACCCUUUGAAGUUGCCUUCGGUGACUUAAAACCUUUGCGACCCCAGGUCAGGCGGGGCUACCCGCUGAAUUUAAGCAUAUCAAUAAGCGGAGA
RNAcentral lists this unclassified non-coding RNA (398 nucleotides) under soil metagenome. Its description in RNAcentral is "partial contains 5.8S ribosomal RNA, internal transcribed spacer 2, and large subunit ribosomal RNA". The stretch from base 1 to 120 matches the Rfam family "5.8S ribosomal RNA", at positions 35 to 154 of the family's 154-position model. The record is from RNAcentral.